CCUACGGGAGGCAGCAGUGAGGAAUAUUGGUCAAUGGACGCAAGUCUGAACCAGCCAUGCCGCGUGCAGGAUGACGGCUCUAUGAGUUGUAAACUUCUUUUGUACAAGAGUAAACGCAGAUACGCGUGUCUUUCUGACAGUACUUUACGAAUAAGGAUCGGCUAACUCCGUGCCAGCAGCCGCGGUAAUACGGAGGAUUCAAGCGUUAUCCGGAUUUAUUGGGUUUAAAGGGUGCGUAGAUGGGCGGUUAAGUCAGUGGUGAAAUCUUGCGGCUCAACCUUAAAAUUGCAUUUGAUACUGGUCGCCUAGAGAAUAGUUGAGGUAGGCGGAAUGCGUGGUGUAGCGGUGAAAUGCUUAGAGAUCACGAAGAACACCGAUUGCGAAGGCAGCUUACCAAGCUACUACUGACGUUGAGGCUCGAAAGUGUGGGGAGCAAACAGGAUUAGAUACCCGUGUAGUC
Molecule: ribosomal RNA, 460 nt
Filed under: uncultured bacterium
Lineage: Bacteria
Description: partial 16S ribosomal RNA
Rfam family: Bacterial small subunit ribosomal RNA
Source: RNAcentral